Molecule: ribosomal RNA, 381 nt
Filed under: uncultured bacterium
Lineage: Bacteria
Description: bacterial SSU rRNA
Rfam family: Bacterial small subunit ribosomal RNA
Source: RNAcentral
AGUGAACGCUGGCGGCAGGCCUAACACAUGCAAGUCGAGCGGCAGCGGGUCCCCGCGAGGGGAUGCCGGCGAGCGGCGGACGGGUGAGGAACACAUCGGAAUCUGCCUGGUUGUGGGGGAUAACGUAGGGAAACUUACGCUAAUACCGCAUGCGACCCUGAGUUCGACGGACUUGGGGUGAAAGUGAGGGACCUUCGGGCCUCACGCGACCAGAUGAGCCGAUGUCGGAUAGCUAGUUGGCGGGGUAACGGCCCGCCAAGGCGACGAUCCGUAGCUGGUCUGAGAGGAUGAUCAGCCACACUGGGACUGAGACACGGCCCAGACUCCUACGGAGGCAGCAGUGGGGAAUCUUGGACAAUGGGCGCAAGCCUGAUCCAGCCA